GCUUAGAGAACUAGGAGAGGGGACCGCCAUCUGCUGCCAGCUGGAGCCAGGGCACUGGCUGUCUCCUGUUGGUGGUGGGGAUGGAGCGGUCGAAGGGUGGCCUGCAGUGGGAGCUUUUCCUGCCGGGCAGGAGGAAGAGUAGAAGGGAGAGGCACGGACGCAUGCUGGAGGCUGGAGCUUGCGCCACCGCAGCUCGCCUCGCUGCGGUUGGUGGUGAUGUCGGACACUGCAGGUCUUCCAGAGUGGUAGACGUGCCGUUGGGUAGGCUUUUCUGGCUUUGCCCUCCCAGCUGCUCCAAGCCAGGAUGGAGGAGGAGGACAAGGAAGAGUCACCUGUGGUAAACUGGAGCCUGCAUAUGGCUCUGCAGCUGGUCUCACGAGAUUGGUGGCAGCGACGGAGACUGCAGCUCGACUGGAGUGAAUUAUCAGGAGCCACCAGGUGCUGCAGCAGCUUUGGGAUAACUUGAGGGCGCAUCCUGGGGAAGAAACACCUCCUGUCCAUGGUGCUAACUGCUGAGGACAGUGCUUCGGCGUGGCUUCUCCGUGGCCCAGCUUCUUUGGGGCGUUUUUCUUUCAUGGUUCAUCCAUAUGGCUCCAAAUGAAAAUUACAUUAAUUAUGGAUGAAGAGUAUUGUGUUGUGCAGAUAUACUGCAGUUUCUUCAUCCCUUCAUCUAUGGAUGGACAGGUUCCACAGUGUUGCCACGGAUGACCUGAUUUCAGUACCCGUGUCUGGCUGAAGAGUAUCUGGUUGUGACUGGAUACUGCAGUUUCUGGAUCUCAUCCUCUGUGGGUGGACAGGUUUCUCCAUCUUGCUGGUAGUGAACUGAUGUCCGGAAGUUUGAUGGCCGAAGAGUAUACCGUUGUGCAUAUAUCCUUCAAUUCCUGAUUUUAUCAUCUGUAGAAAGACAAAAAUCUUCAGACUGAUUUCCACAGUUUGAGAUCUAGUUUGCAUUACCUCCAAGAGAAUAGCCAUGUUUGCUUUUCUCUGCUGCCACACCAGCAUGUUAUGUUUUGACUUAGGACAAAUGGCCACUCUGACCAGCGUGUGAUGGCACCGGUACCUCAUCUCUGAUGAUUGGUGAUGUUGAGCAUUCCCCACGCCUGUUGGAAUGGCAAUCCCUUGGAAAUGUCUUCUCAAUAGUUACUACCCAUAGAGAACAGACCCUCCCAGUCUUCAGUGCACUCUAAAUACUUGCUAAUUCUGGCCAAUGGAAGGCAUCUGUGGAAGAAAAAAGCCUCAGAUCAUGUGCUAUCUGUCUUUAUUCAGUGUGACAUAUUAGGUUGUUUUCUUGGAUAAGAACUAGACGAAGAGAAAGGGAGAUUAGUGAUAAAUGUCCAGGUUUUCAAGUUGAAAAGUAACAAUCAGUGUAUUACAACAGAUGGAUGUGAUGUCAAAUUACAAAUGCUGAAAAUGUUAUAUGUAAUCAUGUAGCCAGAGUAAUCAUACAAGGCAAAGAACGGAAAGGCAUCCAAAUAGGAAAGAGGCUGGAAUGCAGUGGCACCAUCUCAGCUCACUGCAACCUCCGCCUCCG
This 1531-nucleotide long non-coding RNA is filed under the name Homo sapiens (human). RNAcentral's name for it is "HSALNT0375516". The record is from RNAcentral. Lineage: Eukaryota; Metazoa; Chordata; Mammalia; Primates; Hominidae.